This is a long non-coding RNA of Gasterosteus aculeatus aculeatus (three-spined stickleback), 2797 nucleotides long. The record is from Ensembl. Lineage: Eukaryota; Metazoa; Chordata; Actinopteri; Perciformes; Gasterosteidae.
CUUCUGGCUCAGCUGCUGCUGUUGACACCCGAGUCUCCAUUACAAUGAGCAUUCCCAAAAGUCCUCGUAUUCUCUCUGUCUAGACGGCUGAAACAACCCACAGGUUAUCACCAAGAAAAGCUCAAGAGCGCAGUAAUUUAAACGGAGAGUAGAUGGAGUGAAUUCUUUGAUGCCUGAAUGGUUUCACAGCAACACAAGGCUAAGUAUUACAUCGUAAAGAUAAUUUGGGCACUGCGUGUUCUGGUUUGGUUUGCCCCACCCCCUGCUGGGCCCAGGGGACCAAAGUUAUGUUGUCCAGAUGGGAAAUAAUAGCCCACACCUGGGCUUCGGCCAGGACCCCAAACUAGACUCCUGCAUGGCCCCAAAGCCUGACUCAGCUAAACAUCCACAGAGACCGGUCCCAUCCAUGCUGUGGUCUGACCAGUGUCAGCCAACACACAAUUAACCAGACCAAACCAAAGCUCCUGAACACCAGCUAAUAUCAUUGAAAGGCUUCAGCUUAUUGCUUGAGACAGUUUGCAUUUGCGGCGUUUUUAUUCACCGUGGACUCAAUGAUGGAAAUGAUGAUUGUAAAAGAAAAGAACAGCAAGUCACACACAAAAUGUAAACUUUAUUUGUUGCAUGUCUAACACCUUUGACAGAUCUUUACACGGUGAUACCCACAGAACUCAGAAUGUCAGCAAAGGGCACUGGCAGAUGAAUAUAGAAUAUCUUAUUCGGCAGGAAUUCAUGAUUUAUUUAAAAACAAGUGAAAAACAUUAAACAAAAGCAAAACUGUCCAAACAGCCUUUAAACCUUUAUUAAGUGUCAGACGACAUUUAAUUUAACGGGUAACUUCUGUUUUCCUUUUCUUGUUAAACCUGAGUACCACCCCAUUAUAGCACGGGUGGGCGGAUCCCCAAACUAAUACUGAAGUUUAUAGAGGGACUUUUAUGCAGUUCAGGUGCUGAAGCCACUAUGCACAUGGCAUUGUUUGCACCUGCAUUCCAUCAGAUAAUUACAGCUGGCAUAUGUUCACCCAGCUCUCAGCAACAACGACAGACCGGCGGGGCAGAAGAGUAGGAGUACCACCUGAGCCCAUGGAGAUAAGCAGCAUUGAAAAGGAGGUAAUCAAGAAGACUCCUCCCUCUCUUUUAUACUACCCACACAGGAUAGUGGACCUGCCUGGUCUUGGGAGUAGGCUGAAGGCCCCAAACAGGAAGAAUCUUUUAACCCCGACCUCUUUACUACGGACACUUUUUGUUUCAUGCGUCCACGUCCACUGGGUCGCUGAAGUGUAAGUGACCAAUUUGGGACGAUACAUUUUUUGAAUUUGGUGCAGCAUUGAGAUGGAAAGUGUUCCCUCUCAGUAGUGUUGGGGCACUCACCAUGUGUUGGAAAUAAGGUCUUUUUAUGAAGAUUAAACCAAGACCGUAACCACACCUGCGGGGGAUUUUUAGUCCCAAACUCGGCACCGAUUUGUCAUUGGAAGAGGGCCACAGACCCAACGGGGGAUGCUCGCGUUAAGGCCUCGACGUCACUGUGACUUUAAACAACAAGCCCACCUCCAGCGCCUUCAGUCUGACUCAAGUUGGUGGAGGCAGGUGAAGAAACAACGUUAGUUUUAUGGAAAACCAUGGUUGACAAUCUUUAACUCUGCUGAACAAUGGACCAGAUAAGCAAAUGGAGUUUUUCGUGGGGGGAGGUAUUUUUAGAUUCUCUUCCCACACAAGUCAACGCGGCAAAGCUUGGCGCAGCAGCGCCAAGUUUAAAAGGAAAGUUGAAGAAACGCGUCGACCGCCACUUCUCUGUUUAGGCUUUUGUCAGGGCAGAGAUUGGUCAGAUUCUGUUAAUAACUUUUUAAGUUUACCAUUACAAAGGCUUAUUGUGCAGGACCGCUAAACUACAUAAUUGCUCCAUAGAUAUUACUAUGGUGUACCAUGCUGCUGUUCUAGUGUUGUUUUGAUCGAUCACUCACCGUGAGGGAAAUUGGUUAGCGAGAUUGACAGUUAUGUUUAUAUAUGAUAGAAGUUUCCUCAUAAUUUUAGAUAGUGAGUUCAUGUGUACCGUGAUAAUCGGUAGACACGUAGCCUCUGCUCAAAUGCCAACCUUCAUUGUUCACUCGUAAUGUGGAAUAGUACUUUGACCGUUGACGUCAACGUCAAUGUGGUUAUUUAUUCCCAGGAUGGUGCCUCAUUAUUACUAUAAUUUGUUAAUCUGAUGUUUUUUUUAUAAUUAAAUGAUCAAAGAAAAAGUACGUAUGUAUAUAUGUUUUCUGUACAUGUAUAGCUUAGUUACAAAGAAUAAUUCACUUUGCUGUGUGAUAUUGAUGACAGCAGUGUAGAUAAAUGUCCUACAAAACCUCCUGUCAUUUGUUUUGCAUGGGAACAAAGGGUUUCUAUUGUCAUGCCAUUAGGGAGUUUCCCCCAUUGGAAAAAACAACUGUCAUCCCCCAAUGGUGUGUAUGUACUAAGGUUUGUUGAUGGUUCUGUGCAAAUUCCGAUAAUGCCGUGAACUACGGCGGUGAACUCGUAUUACUGAGGUUCAAAGACCAAUUGAACACAGAUCCAAACCCGCCACCGCUGUUUUUACAUAGCUCCAUCGUUUGGCUCCGCCCCUGCAGACGAAACCCGGGCCCGCAGGUCGGACCGGGAGCAAAAAACACUCUAAUGCCUUGUGGCUUCUCGUUGGCACAUUUUUCACCAUUAAGGUUUUGGAGGGAAACUCUAGAGUGCAUUCCUGGUAAUUAAUAAGGCAAGAGCAGGUUUCCAUUUGGAGUAUUUGAACAUGUUAUAAUAAUAAAGCUUGAACAUUGGGG